AACGCAUAUUGCGCCUCUUGGUAUUCCAAGAGGCAUGCCUGUUCGAGCGUCAUUAAUAUUCUAAGGCUUGGCCUUGUAUUGCUAUAACGGUUAUGUUGUAGUUAAAGUGAUUGUUGUCAUCAAUUAAUUGGCCUGUAGUUACUAUACAGACUCUUUAUUUGAAUGCAACUAUAAUUAUCUAGUUUUGACCUCGGAUCAGGUAGGGAUACCCGCUGAACUUAA
Molecule: unclassified non-coding RNA, 222 nt
Filed under: uncultured Ascomycota
Lineage: Eukaryota; Fungi; Ascomycota
Description: sequence contains 5.8S rRNA gene, ITS2, 28S rRNA gene
Rfam family: 5.8S ribosomal RNA (bases 1-52)
Source: RNAcentral